Molecule: long non-coding RNA, 338 nt
Filed under: Homo sapiens (human)
Lineage: Eukaryota; Metazoa; Chordata; Mammalia; Primates; Hominidae
Description: non-protein coding lnc-SNX19-4:1
Source: RNAcentral
AGAAUAUGUAAUUUGCUCAUGGUCCACAGCCUACAUUCUUCAGUAUGUGCAGGGAAGACCUGGUGGGAUCUUCACUAUGGGGCCAAAGCAGAUACUUCUGCCUCUGAAUGUUUUCAGAAGAGUAACUUCUGCUCCUCUCUCUCCCAACCUUGUGGAGGAGUGACCUGAUGGCUAAAUUGAGAAUAGAACUGCAAUUCAUGGUUCUCUCUCUGUAAGUAACUGUCUGCCCACAAAGCAGCUGUGUUCCACCCGGCUUCAGCUUCCAUGGGCUGAGCACACUGGGUCAGGCCCGAGGCCCACCUUGCAGGCUGAGUCUGGAGGAAAAUCUCUGUCCUUGA